CCUACGGGCGGCAGCAGUCGAGAAUCAUUCACAAUGGGGGAAACCCUGAUGGUGCGACGCCGCGUGGGGGAAUGAAGGUCUUCGGAUUGUAAACCCCUGUCAUGUGGGAGCAAAUUAAAAAGAUAGUACCACACGAGGAAGAGACGGCUAACUCUGUGCCAGCAGCCGCGGUAAUACAGAGGUCUCAUGCGUUGUUCGGAAUCACUGGGCGUAAAGCGUGCGUAGGCUGUUUCGUAAGUCGUGUGUGAAAGGCGCGGGCUCAACCCGCGGACGGCACAUGAUACUGCGAGACUAGAGUAAUGGAGGGGGAACCGGAAUUCUCGGUGUAGCAGUGAAAUGCGUAGAUAUCGAGAGGAACACUCGUGGCGAAGGCGGGUUCCUGGACAUUAACUGACGCUGAGGCACGAAGGCCAGGGGAGCGAAAGGGAUUAGAUACCCCAGUAGUC
RNAcentral lists this ribosomal RNA (446 nucleotides) under uncultured bacterium. RNAcentral describes it as "partial 16S ribosomal RNA". It matches the Rfam family "Bacterial small subunit ribosomal RNA", at positions 338 to 795 of the family's 1533-position model. The record is from RNAcentral.